Molecule: long non-coding RNA, 1951 nt
Organism: Cyprinus carpio (common carp)
Lineage: Eukaryota; Metazoa; Chordata; Actinopteri; Cypriniformes; Cyprinidae
Source: Ensembl
UGGGUGGUACCCUUUUACGAGGAAUCCUUCGAUCAGCCAUGCUUUCUCCCGAACUUUCUGCAGAUUCAGAAUCAGGUCGCCGUUGUUCCAACGUCUUGUAAAAGCAACUUCCGUCCACACCAAUGAACUCUACUGCCGUGAAUGAUUCCUCCCCUUCAUUUACGUUGUCCCAAUAUGUUAUAAAAUUAAUCACUGGCCUUACACCAGUCAUUCUCAAAUCAUUUAACAUUUUAAUUAUGUUUUUAGAUUUUCCUUUGUUUUUAUUACCAGUUAUGAAAUCCAUCUUUUUGAGAGAACACUUGUUUGUGGUUGCUUAGUAGACUAGGCACGUCCGGUAAAUUUUUAAUUACGUAUUAAUGACUACUGAAUUAAUUAUUUUUCUAUUCUUUAUUUUUAGAUGCUUCCCGAACUUGCCGUUUAUAGAUUUUUUUGGAUUAAAAAAAAAAAAAAAAAAAAAAAAAAGUUCUAAAUCAUGUGGGGAAAAAGGCGCCUUAUUAGAGGCUCUCUUCCGGUUCGUAUGUCGUGAGAAUCUACAGUCCAACAAUGGGACUUGCAAGAAAGAUUUUAACGCUCUGUGAGCAUAAGGGCGUAAAAGGAAACCGAAAAAUAACUAAAUGGCUUCAAAAAAACAGGCUAAUGGCUUCAACGAAGAAAUGCAGAAUAUGUAAAAAUAAAAUGAAAUUAAGGAAGAGGCAAAAUAAAGAUGGAUACCAAUGGUAAAUAUACACACCCUUAUGACACUUUUUUUUUUUGUCAGAUUGGAAGCCUGAUUCAAAUCAAAAUUAUAUUGUGUUACUGUACUUAUUCUAUGUGUUACUUUUAUUUAUUUAUUUAAUUGUAUUUUUUGUUACUGUGGUAUCAGGAUAUGUCAACAAAGAGCACACAAUGAAAAAGUGACAAAAUCAUGCAGGUCAGGAUCAAUAUUCGACAAGACCAAGACAAGUUUACAAAAUUGGAUGACUUUUAUAUACAGAUUCAGUCAAGGUUUACGUUUACGCCAAGUCGACAUGGUCCAGGAUGGCAUUGCUGGAAGCUCCGCCACCCUUACUAAAAUGACCCGUAAACUGAGAUUAGUCUGCAGGAAAGCCUUGAAGAUGUUCAAAAGGAAGACAGGACAACGCAUGGGUGGAAGAAGGGAAUUUAUUGUGAUAGAUGAAAGCAACAUCCGCCAUAAAAGGAAGGUGGGACAUCCUUUUUGUAACUAUUUUUUUUAAAAGUGAAAACAUGUAAGGUGGAACAACUGAAAUACAAUAUCUAUAUCAAAUUUCAAUAGUGAUAUUUGAUGCAUCAAUGAAUCAUUUCUUUAAAUUGGUUAUUUUUAUUGAACCAGAUGAACCCGUUCUGAACUAAACUGUAUCAUCAACUGUAUAAUCUGAAACAGUUUGCAUCUCAUGUCAGCACUGAUCCAAAAAUUAUUCCACCAAAACUCACUUUUUGCAACGAGUCUGACAGUCACUCCAACUCACAAUUUAUCAGUUGUCUCAUAGGUUGUGAUUCCAUGUCCUUUAAUGUAACACUGCUACUUGAUCCCUUCUAGCAGGACUUCAGUUACUCCAACAGUUAAUACUUAAUAUCAGAAUACAUUUAGGCUGUGUUUUAUUUUUAAGUUACAUAGUAUAUUUGUACCAAUAGCCAAAAAUACAUUGUAUUCAUCAAAAUUAUUGAUUUCUCUUUUAUGCCAAAAAUCAUUAGGAUAUUAAGUAAAGAUCAUGUCCCAUGAAGAUAUUUUGUAAAUUUCCUACUGUACAUAUAUAAAACAUAAUUGAUUAGCAAUAUGGAUUGCUAAGAACUUCAUUUGGACAACUUUGAAGGCGAUUUUCUCAAUAUUUAGAUUUUUUGCACCCUCAGAUUCCAGAUUUUCAAAUAGCUGUAUCUCAGACAAAUAUUGUCAUAUCCUCCUAACAAACCAUACAUCAAUAAAAGCUUAUUUAUUCAGAUGGUUUAUAAAUCU